RNAcentral lists this ribosomal RNA (480 nucleotides) under uncultured bacterium. Its description in RNAcentral is "partial 16S ribosomal RNA". It matches the Rfam family "Bacterial small subunit ribosomal RNA", at positions 28 to 523 of the family's 1533-position model. The record is from RNAcentral.
GACGAACGCUGGCGGCGUGCUUAACACAUGCAAGUCUAGCGGAAAGGCCCUUUCGGGGGUACUCGAGCGGCGAACGGGUGAGUAACACGUGAGUAAUCUGCCCCUGGCUUUGGGAUAGCCACCGGAAACGGUGAUUAAUACCGGAUACGACCACUUCUCGCAUGGGAUGGUGGUGGAAAGUUUUUCGGCCAGGGAUGUGCUCGCGGCCUAUCAGCUUGAUGGUGAGGUAAUGGCUCACCAUGGCUUCGACGGGUAGCCGGCCUGAGAGGGUGACCGGUAACACUGGGACUGAGACACGGCCCAGACUCCUACGGGAGGAAGCAGUGGGGAAUAUUGGACAAUGGGCGGAAGCCUGAUCCAGCAACGCCGCGUGAGGGAUGACGGCCUUCGGGUUGUAAACCUCUUUCAGCAGGGACGAAGCGCAAGUGACGGUACCUGCAGAAGAAGCACCGGCCAACUACGUGCCAGCCGCCGCUGUAA